AGAGUUUGAUCCUGGCUCAGGACGAACGCUGGCGGCGUGCUUCAUACAUGCAAGUCGAACGCGAAUCGGUAGCUUGCUACCGAGGAAAGUGGCGGACGGGUGAGUAAUAUGUAGAGAAUCUGCCCUAGAGAGGGGGACAACAGCUGGAAACGGUUGCUAAUACCCCAUAUGAGCGUACCUGAAAUGGUAUUCUUGAAAACUCCGGUGCUCUAGGAUGAGUCUGCAUCUGAUUAGCUAGUUGGGGGUGUAAUGGACCACCAAGGCGACGAUCAGUAGCUGGUUUGAGAGGAUGAUCAGCCACAAUGGGACUGAGACACGGCCCAUACUCCUACGGGAGGCAGCAGUAGGGAAUUUUGCGCAAUGGGCGAAAGCCUGACGCAGCAACGCCGCGUGAUUGAUAAAGCCCUUCGGGGUGUAAAGAUCUGUCAGUGGGGACGAAACUUGACGGUACCCACAGAGGAAGCACCGGCUAACUCCGUGCCAGCAGCCGCGGUAAUACGGAGGGUGCAAGCGUUGUCCGGAAUCAUUGGGCGUAAAGAGUUCGUAGGUGGUUUGUUAAGUUUGGUGUUAAAUGCAGAGGCUCAACUUCUGUUCGGCAUCGGAUACUGGCAGACUAGAAUGCGGUAGAGGUAAAGGGAAUUCCUGGUGUAGCGGUGAAAUGCGUAGAUAUCAGGAGGAACAUCGGUGGCGUAAGCGCUUUACUGGGCCGUAAUUGACACUGAGGAACGAAAGCCAUCCCGCCUGGGGAGUACGCACGCAAGUGUGAAACUCAAAGGAAUUGACGGGGACCCGCACAAGCGGUGGAACAUGUGGUUUAAUUCGAAGCAACGCGAAGAACCUUACCAGGGCUUGACAUCUAACAAACCUUUGUGAAAGCAGAGGGUGCUCUUCGGAGAAUGUUAAGACAGGUGGUGCACGGUUGUCGUCAGCUCGUGUCGUGAGAUGUUGGGUUAAGUCCCGCAACGAGCGCAACCCUCGUCGUUAGUUGGUACUAUCGGUAUACUUAUAGUAACCUCUCUAGCGAGACUGCCGGUGAUAAACCGGAGGAAGGUGAGGACGAGGUCAAAUCAUCAUGCCCCUUAUGCUCUGGGCUACACACGUGUUACAAUGGCCGGUACAAUGAGCCGCCAACUCGCGAGAGUGAGCAAAUCUCUAAAAGCCGGUCUCAGUUCGGAUUGCAGUCUGCAAGGAAUCGCUAGUAAACGCAGAUCAGCACGCUGCGUUGAAUACGUUCCCGGGUCUUGUACACACCGCCCGUCACACCAUGGAAGUCGACCACGCCCGAAGUACGUGAGCUAACCGUAAGGAAGCAGCGUCCUAAGGCAGGGUUGGUGACUGGGGUGAAGUCGUAACAAGGUAGCCGUACCGGAAGGUGUGGCUG
Molecule: ribosomal RNA, 1381 nt
Filed under: human gut metagenome
Description: bacterial SSU rRNA
Rfam family: Bacterial small subunit ribosomal RNA
Source: RNAcentral